CAUAAUCACUUGUUCUUUAAUUGGGGACUGGUAUGAAAGAAAGUUUGAGGUCUAAUCUGUCUCUUUUUUGUUUUAAAAUUUGCUGUCUGUGUGAAGAAGCACAGGUUGUUAAAAAAGACAAGAAGACCCUUUUAAGCUUUAUUUAGAAUUCUUUGGCUUUUUCUUUCAAGAAUUUGGCUAAGGUCUAUAAAUAUGGUUGGGGUGACUGAAGAAGAUAAAAAUCUUCUUUUGUUUAUUAGUACCUUUACGUUAAAAAAUGACCCAAGAUUUCUUGGUUGUAAGAA
RNAcentral lists this ribosomal RNA (284 nucleotides) under Nemertea sp. Antarctic ARM-2008. Its description in RNAcentral is "partial 16S ribosomal RNA". The record is from RNAcentral. Lineage: Eukaryota; Metazoa; Nemertea.